AUGGAUUAUUAUAUACGUUUUUGUCAUGCGUAUCCGUGAACCAAUUGCCAGCGUUAAAUAAAAAAAAGAAAAAGACAAAUGUAGAUCGAUAAAGAAACGAAAAGAAACAUCAAAUGUCCGAUGUUAAGAAGACAAGAAUGAGCAUGUGAGAAAAGGGUAAAUCCAUAAUUCAAGGAUAGAGGAUGAUAUUCCGCAAUGCGUAUAAUGUAAGGAGUCAAUAUUCGCAAGGAAGAAGAGAUUAUUAGAAGUCGAACAGCGAUUUGGAAAUAACAAAUAAUAUGAUUUCGCAGAAGACAAGCAAACAGAAAAAGGAACAGAAAGAAGCGAACACUGUGACCAGAUAAAGGAGCGUGAUUUUUGAAAAAUGUUAUUCUCUUUGCAAAAAUUAUAUCUACCAAUAUACACACACAUACACACACACACACACACACACACACACACACGCCUCAAAAAUGAAGUAUAAAGAUGAUUAUAUAAAGAUGUCUUUUACAUAUUAGACGGAGAUAGUGGUACUGCUCUAUUUUUUGGAUCCCGAAGGAAUAGAAAAUUUGAAAUUAUAAGAUUUUUAAAAAUAAUUGCUUUUGAUUCCGGAAAGUUUCCGGAACUUACGGUUUUUUAUCACGAAAAUUCUCUGCGCGAAAAUAUCUAUUCUCGUAAAGCUCAAAAUCUUCCAAUUCACGAAUCAAGCACAUAAUUAGAAUAAAUGUCAAUACUUAUAAAUUUUGUAAUACUAUGAUCGCUACUACAAUAAUAAAAAUUCCCAGUAAAAUAAAUUCAUUAAAUAUGAAUACACCUCAACUUAUAUUGUAGAUAAUAUUUCAACACAAUAUGUAUCGUACAAUAAUAGAUUCAUGUUGGCAUUUUGGAUCAAUCAUGUAAUACUAACGCAGCAUUCAACGUGUUAAACAAUUUAUUUCAUUCAAAGACAAUCAAUUUGGCAUAAAGACACUCAUUGCAUGUGUUUGUAAAACUGCAUAUAUUUUAGAUAUGCUUAUAUAUUCAAGUUUUGAAACAGAAAUUCCUGUAUGUCAAAAAAAUUUGUAUAAAUCUGGUAAUAUAGUAAUGAUUAUAAUGAAAAAUUAUUUCAAAAAAGUUCAUAGUUUAUAUUCGAUAAUUUGUACACAAGUCUAAUUUUACCACAUUAUAUUUAAACCAAACAAAUGCUUGUGGUACAGUAAAAAAGGACUGCAAAAAUAUGUCAGUUAUGCAAGAUAAAUUACAAAUAGAUGAAAUACCAUUAGGAUCGAAUAAAAAUUCAUGUAUAAAAUUAAUGUAUAAAAUGACAAAAUAAAAGAGCAGUUUGGAAGUUGA
This is a long non-coding RNA of Vespula vulgaris, 1311 nucleotides long. RefSeq lists it as uncharacterized. NCBI's taxonomy places the organism in Eukaryota, Metazoa, Arthropoda, Insecta, Hymenoptera, Vespidae. The record is from RefSeq and is a predicted model, not a curated record. The transcript has 2 exons.